This 73-nucleotide transfer RNA is filed under the name Stegodyphus mimosarum. It matches the Rfam family "tRNA". From Rfam's summary of the family: Transfer RNA (tRNA) molecules are approximately 80 nucleotides in length. The record is from Rfam by way of RNAcentral. Lineage: Eukaryota; Metazoa; Arthropoda; Arachnida; Araneae; Eresidae.
GCCUUCAUAGUGGAGUGAUUACCACGCUCGACCCGUAACCGAGAGGUCCGAGGUUCGAUUCCCGGCGAAGGCG